Molecule: long non-coding RNA, 631 nt
Organism: Oxyura jamaicensis (ruddy duck)
Lineage: Eukaryota; Metazoa; Chordata; Aves; Anseriformes; Anatidae
Exons: 3
Source: RefSeq, a predicted model, not a curated record
GCCUCCUCAGAAGUCGUCGUGGACACGUUGUGUAUCUUUUCUGUUCUUCCGGGAUUCAUUCGUCGGGAAAGACGACCACAAAAUCCGAGGGCUCGGCCCGUCGACUGCUCCCGGAAGGCAGAAAGAGUCCUCGCACCGAGUUCCCCUAGUGCGACAGCAUGUAAAGUUGGAGGCCUUGGAAGUCCUGAUCCAUCCCUUCCGAGCAGGAGAUUGUGAACGUGGAGAGAGUCGAAGCUGCAACCUGCGUGGGAAGGACUGUUCCGAGUGCUCCCGGUUACUGAGACGGCAGGAAGAAGGGCUGAGAAAGGGUGGACUCGUACCCGGGUAAAAGCAUCAGUUAGCCCUGAUACCGGGGAGACUGCAUUAACAGAGACUUUUCAGGACAGGAGAAAAGCUCUUUCCGGAGAGAUGGAGAAGGAAUUAAUUAUACCUCUGCCUCAUCCUGUGAGACCAGAAGACCUGGAGUAAGCUGCGAUUCUCGGGAGACACCACGCUGAGAGUCACAGGUUCCUUCUCUGCCUGCCCCCAAGGCCCUGGGCACGUUGGGUUCACCCUGGGAAGGGCACGUUACUCAGGGCAGUUAUUUCCUCCCCGAGACGAACGUGGGACACGUUUUUCUGCUGCUUUCACC